RNAcentral lists this ribosomal RNA (622 nucleotides) under Chaetomium sp. RNAcentral's name for it is "eukaryotic LSU rRNA". It matches the Rfam family "Eukaryotic large subunit ribosomal RNA", at positions 21 to 669 of the family's 3401-position model. The record is from RNAcentral. Lineage: Eukaryota; Fungi; Ascomycota; Sordariomycetes; Sordariales; Chaetomiaceae.
UUUACCCCCUGAAAAAAGCAUAUCAAUAAGCGGAGGAAAAGAAACCAACAGGGAUUGCCCUAGUAACGGCGAGUGAAGCGGCAACAGCUCAAAUUUGAAAUCUGGCUUCGGCCCGAGUUGUAAUUUGCAGAGGAAGCUUUAGGCGCGGCACCUUCUGAGUCCCCUGGAACGGGGCGCCAUAGAGGGUGAGAGCCCCGUAUAGUUGGAUGCCUAGCCUGUGUAAAGCUCCUUCGACGAGUCGAGUAGUUUGGGAAUGCUGCUCAAAAUGGGAGGUAAAUUUCUUCUAAAGCUAAAUACCGGCCAGAGACCGAUAGCGCACAAGUAGAGUGAUCGAAAGAUGAAAAGCACUUUGAAAAGAGGGUUAAAUAGCACGUGAAAUUGUUGAAAGGGAAGCGCUUGUGACCAGACUUGCGCCGGGCGGAUCAUCCGGUGUUCUCACCGGUGCACUCCGCCCGGCUCAGGCCAGCAUCGGUUCUCGCGGGGGGAUAAAGGUCCUGGGAACGUAGCUCCUCCGGGAGUGUUAUAGCCCGGGGCGUAAUGCCCUCGCGGGGACCGAGGUUCGCGCAUCUGCAAGGAUGCUGGCGUAAUGGUCAUCAGCGACCCGUCUUGAACCACGGACCCA